CUGCCUGAAGUGAAAGAGAAAGCUCUCGACAUUAGCACUCUGUUCCUACUUCAACUCCUUGGCGGCUCAGGCGGCUCCUUCAACAUUCAGAGCCUUCUGCCUCUCAUUCUCUUCUCCAGAAUUCUCGGCUAGAUUUAAAUUUAGUACACAGAUCAUGUGACUCACUGAUUAUGCUCAAGCUUCGUUUUUGUGUUUGUUUAUUGUGAAGUUUUUGUGUUUUAGCUACACUAUUAUUUUGAAUAGGAAAAUUUAACUCCCACAAAGUCCCUUCAUGACCCUUAAAUCCUUAUGUACAUUUUAUGUAUUUGUUUGAAAUGCUUUAAAUCUUAGUAUUUAAAAAAAAAUUAUGCCUCCAAAGAUAUCGAUGAAUUUAUUUGUGUAAAAAUAAAAAGAUGAAAUAAGA
Long non-coding RNA from Physella acuta, 403 nucleotides. RefSeq lists it as uncharacterized. Lineage: Eukaryota; Metazoa; Mollusca; Gastropoda; Physidae. The record is from RefSeq and is a predicted model, not a curated record.